RNAcentral lists this ribosomal RNA (400 nucleotides) under uncultured bacterium. RNAcentral describes it as "bacterial SSU rRNA". It matches the Rfam family "Bacterial small subunit ribosomal RNA", at positions 975 to 1375 of the family's 1533-position model. The record is from RNAcentral.
CCACCUUUGACAUGUACGGAAUUUUCCAGAGAUGGAUUAGUGCUCGAAAGAGAACCGUAACACAGGUGCUGCAUGGCUGUCGUCAGCUCGUGUCGUGAGAUGUUGGGUUAAGUCCCGCAACGAGCGCAACCCUUGUCAUUAGUUGCUACAUUUAGUUGGGCACUCUAAUGAGACUGCCGGUGACAAACCGGAGGAAGGUGGGGAUGACGUCAAGUCCUCAUGGCCCCUAUAGGUGGGGCUACACACGUCAUACAAUGGCCGGUACAAAGGGCUGCCAACCCGCGAGGGGGAGCUAAUCCCAUAAAACCGGUCGUAGUCCGGAUCGCAGUCUGCAACUCGACUGCGUGAAGUCGGAAUCGCUAGUAAUCGUGGAUCAGAAUGUCACGGUGAAUACGUUCCC